GAGGGGCCCGCGUCCGAUUAGCUAGUUGGUGGGGUAAUGGCUCACCAAGGCAACGAUCGGUAGCCGGCCUGAGAGGGCGGACGGCCACACUGGGACUGAGACACGGCCCAGACUCCUACGGGAGGCAGCAGUGGGGAAUUGUUCGCAAUGGGCGCAAGCCUGACGACGCAACGCCGCGUGGAGGAUGAAGAUCUUCGGGUCGUAAACUCCUUUCGAUCGAGACGAAUUCCCCUGGGGUGAACAAUUCCGGGGGUUGACGGUACCGAGAGAAGAAGCCCCGGCUAACUCCGUGCCAGCAGCCGCGGUAAUACGGGGGGGGCAAGCGUUGUUCGGAAUUACUGGGCGUAAAGGGCUCGUAGGCGGCCAACUAAGUCAGACGUGAAAUCCCUCGGCUUAACCGGGGAACUGCGUCUGAUACUGGAUGGCUCGAGUUCGGGAGAGGGAUGCGGAAUUCCAGGUGUAGCGGUGAAAUGCGUAGAUAUCUGGAGGAACACCGGUGGCGAAGGCGGCAUCCUGGACCGACACUGACGCUGAGGAGCGAAAGCCAGGGGAGCAAACGGGAUUAGAUACCCCGGUAGUCCUGGCCCUAAACGAUGAAUGCUUGGUGU
Molecule: ribosomal RNA, 608 nt
Filed under: uncultured soil bacterium
Lineage: Bacteria
Description: bacterial SSU rRNA
Rfam family: Bacterial small subunit ribosomal RNA
Source: RNAcentral